RNAcentral lists this transfer RNA (85 nucleotides) under Plectocomia elongata. RNAcentral describes it as "tRNA-Tyr". The record is from RNAcentral. RNAcentral also lists the same sequence under 2 other names. Lineage: Eukaryota; Viridiplantae; Streptophyta; Magnoliopsida; Arecales; Arecaceae.
UGGGCCGAGCUGGAUUUGAACCAGCGUAGACAUAUCAUCAACGAAUUUACAGUCCGUCCCCAUUAACCGCUCGGGCAUCGACCCA